CAUAACGCUGGCGGCGUGCUUAACACAUGCAAGUCGAACGGAAUACAAGGGAGCUUGCUCCUGAAAUAUUUAGUGGCGAACGGGUGAGUAUCACGUGAGCAACCUGCCCCGAAGAUUGGGAUAACGCCGGGAAACCGGUGCUAAUACCGAAUACCCUCCACACAUCGCAUGAUGAGUAGAGGAAAUGUUUUUUCGCUUCGGGAGGGGCUCGCGGUCCAUCAGCUUGUUGGCGGGGUAACGGCCCACCAAGGCAACGACGGAUAGCUGGUCUGAGAGGACGAUCAGCCACACUGGAACUGAGACACGGUCCAGACUCCUACGGGAGGCAGCAGUGGGGGAUCUUGCGCAAUGGACGAAAGUCUGACGCAGCAACGCCGCGUGAGGGACGAAGGCUUUCUGAGUUGUAAACCUCUUUCGACAGGAACGAUUGUGACGGUACCUGUAGAAGAAGCACCGGCCAACUAUGUGCCAGCAGCCGCGGUGAUACAUAGGGUGCAAGCGUUAUUCGGAUUUAUUGGGCGUAAAGAGCUCGUGGGCGGUUCAAUAAGUCACGUGUUAAUCCCCCAGGCUCAACCUGGGGCCCGCCACGUGAAACUGUUGUGACUAGAGUUUGGUAGGGGAUCACGGAAUUUCUGGUGGUAGCGGUGGAAUGCCCAAAAUAUCAAGGAGGAAAC
RNAcentral lists this ribosomal RNA (674 nucleotides) under uncultured bacterium. RNAcentral's name for it is "bacterial SSU rRNA". It matches the Rfam family "Bacterial small subunit ribosomal RNA", at positions 28 to 709 of the family's 1533-position model. The record is from RNAcentral.